GACGAACGCUGGCGGCGUGCUUAACACAUGCAAGUCGAACGGAAAGGCCCUGCUUUUGUGGGGUGCUCGAGUGGCGAACGGGUGAGUAACACGUGAGUAACCUGCCCUUGACUUUGGGAUAACUUCAGGAAACUGGGGCUAAUACCGGAUAGGAGCUCCUGCUGCAUGGGGGGGGUUGGAAAGUUUCGGCGGUUGGGGAUGGACUCGCGGCUUAUCAGCUUGUUGGUGGGGUAGUGGCUUACCAAGGCUUUGACGGGUAGCCGGCCUGAGAGGGUGACCGGCCACAUUGGGACUGAGAUACGGCCCAGACUCCUACGGGAGGCAGCAGUGGGGAAUAUUGCACAAUGGGCGGAAGCCUGAUGCAGCAACGCCGCGUGUGGGAUGACGGCCUUCGGGUUGUAAACCGCUUUCGCCUGUGACGAAGCGUGAGUGACGGUAAUGGGUAAAGAAGCACCGGCUAACUACGUG
Molecule: ribosomal RNA, 468 nt
Filed under: uncultured bacterium
Lineage: Bacteria
Description: partial 16S ribosomal RNA
Rfam family: Bacterial small subunit ribosomal RNA
Source: RNAcentral